UCAUUAUAUGUUUUCUGCUUUAUGUGCGCAUCCUCUACCUAUUAAGUGUUAAUUAAAAUUAAAGGGUUUCUUUUUAAAAUCUUCUAUAACUAAUAAAAAAUAUGGAAGAUUUUGUUACUUUGAGUAAAUUAGAGUGUUCAAAGCAAACAGAUAUAUAGCAUUUGUGCGUUUGAAUACUACAGCAUGGAAUAACAAAAUUGAACAGGUCAAAACUAUGUUUCUUUUUUUUUAUUUUUGGCUUAGUUACGAUUAAUAGGAGUAGUUUGGGGACAUUUGUAUUCAGAUGUCAGAGGUGAAAUUCUAAGAUUUUCUGGAGACAAACAACUGCGAAGGCAUUUGUCUAAAAUACUUCCAUUAAUCAAGAACGAAAGUUAAGGGAGUGAAGACGAUCAGAUACCGUCGUAAUCUUAACCAUAAACUAUACCGACUAGGUUUUGGAUGAAAGUAAAACAAAUAAGGAUAGUCUCUUCGGGGAUAGUUCUUAGAUUUCUUCCUUCAGUACCUUAUGAGAAAUCAAAGUCUUUGGGUUCUGGGGCGAGUAUUCGCGCAAGCGAGAAAGUUAAAAGAAUUGACGGAAGGGCACCACCAGGCGUGGAGCUUGCGGCUUAAUUUGACUCAACACGGGAAAACUCACUAGUUUAAGACAAGAGUAGGAUUGACAGAUUAAUAGCUCUUUCUUGAUUUCUUGGAUGGUGAUGCAUGGCCGUUUUUAGUUCGUGAAUAUGAUUUGUCUGGUUAAUUCCGAUAACGAACGAGAUCUUAACCUGCUAAUUAGCAGUAAGUACAACAUAUUUCUAUGCUGAAUUUGUAUUUGGAUAAUUUAAAAGGUUUUUUUGCCGUGCAUAUAAUGAGUACGGAAAAAAUGCAUACUGCUACCUUGUACCUAAUAAUACUUGGCGCCUAUGCAUAUUUCCAACCCUCUAUUCCCUGUACCGCAUAAAACUGGAUUAUGAUGCCAUUUCACUUUUAUGUAGAAAUGUAUUUGCUUUUACAUAAAGC
This 999-nucleotide ribosomal RNA is filed under the name Plasmodium knowlesi. RNAcentral describes it as "SSU rRNA". It matches the Rfam family "Eukaryotic small subunit ribosomal RNA", at positions 635 to 1407 of the family's 1831-position model. The record is from RNAcentral. Lineage: Eukaryota; Apicomplexa; Aconoidasida; Haemosporida; Plasmodiidae.